RNAcentral lists this ribosomal RNA (403 nucleotides) under Verrucomicrobiota bacterium. RNAcentral describes it as "Verrucomicrobia bacterium partial 16S ribosomal RNA". It matches the Rfam family "Bacterial small subunit ribosomal RNA", at positions 355 to 776 of the family's 1533-position model. The record is from RNAcentral. Lineage: Bacteria; Pseudomonadati; Verrucomicrobiota.
UGGGGAUUAUUGCACAAUGGGCGCAAGCCUGAUGCAGCAACGCCGCGUGAACGAUGAAGGUCUUCGGAUCGUAAAGUCCUGUCGCAGGGGAAGAUAAUGACGGUACCCUGUGAGGAAGCCCCGGCUAACUACGUGCCAGCAGCCGCGGUAAUACGUAGGGGGCUAGCGUUAUCCGGAUUUACUGGGCGUAAAGGGUGCGUAGGUGGUCUUUCAAGUCGGUGGUUAAAGGCUACGGCUCAACCGUAGUUAGCCUCCGAAACUGGAAGACUUGAGUGCAGGAGAGGAAAGUGGAAUUCCCAGUGUAACGGUGAAAUGCGUAGAUAUUGGGAGGAACACCAGUAGCGAAGGCGGCUUUCUGGACUGCAACUGACACUGAGGCACGAAAGCGUGGGUAGCAAACAGG